UUAAUUGUUUACCAUAGUAACGCUUACUGUGUUCGAUCACGCUUAGGGUUUGUUUACAUACGAAAUCCGCCAUUAUUGGAUUACGUCAUUUUAAAUUUAUGAUCGCGCUGAAAUCGGAGAAUGGUGUAUUGUAUGCUACCUAAGUUAAAUGAAGAAGUUUUGAAUUUGGGAGCCCUUUCAGAUAUUGAAAGGAUUGGAAAUGCUGGAAAGAGGUAUUUUGGCCACAUGUGCCAUGUUGUUGUCUCAAACCAAACCUUUAUCCUGCCUAUGCAAGAGACAAUAAAUUCAUUGCUUAAAAGAUAAGAUAUUUUUAUGUCACCUUGGUACCUAUGUUGAAUAUUCUUCUGACAUCAGAAAUCACCAUCAAUACACAGAAGAUUCGUUAUGAAUCCUUAUAAUAUUGGAAAACUGUAAACAAUGGAUAUAUAUCUGGUAUAAUCCAAAAAGUUGCUUUUCAUAAGAGGAACUAAAAAGGUGAAAAGAAUCAAUGAAAAUAACUUGUAUUGAUAGAAAUGAUUUUCACAAAAAACAAUGCAGAUCGAAACAAGAAUUGCAUGUUAAAGAACGUUCUGUUACAGCCUGUAAACUAAUGAAAAUGUCAUGUUUACUUGUGAUUAUGAGUAGGAUUUGUAUAUAUGUUGCUUUUUAUAUGAGAAUCUUCAGAAUUGGCCUAUAGUUACUUUCUUAAAGAUUUUACAGUGUUAAAAUAUUUUUCAAACAUAGUUGACUGUGACAUGUGAGGAUAAAUAAUAUACAGACAUGUUAAAUGUUUUGAUGAUAUUUUUCUGAUUUCUAACUCUUUUCUGGCUUAAUAAACUGGCUUACUUUUGUGGGAAUUUUAUAACAAUAAAAUGAAUGCUUAAAAAAAAAUUAGUGCAAAACUACACCAGUAAACCUAUAAUACUAAAUUGUCUUGUAAUGUACUUUUUUGUUGUAUUGUUAGUUAUUAGACUUGUUGCAUAUUAUGAAAUAAAGCAACUCCUCUACUUAUUACUUGUACUCGUAUUAUGUGCAUGAAACGUAAAAAGAUGAUACUUAAUGCCAGUAUGUCAUUCAAAGAAACUAUGGAAAUGCUAACCCUGUUUCGAAAUUUGCUAAAAGGACGCGUUUUCCAUCCGCAUGUUUUAGCGAGGAUACAAGUGUUAAACUACGGAGGUUGCUUUUAUUUAUUGGGCUAUAAAGACACUUUCGUUUCUAAUCUAGGAAGGAUUUUUAACAAAUAUAAACCUUACAUUUGGGAAAA
This is a long non-coding RNA of Hydractinia symbiolongicarpus, 1243 nucleotides long. RefSeq lists it as uncharacterized. The transcript has 2 exons. Lineage: Eukaryota; Metazoa; Cnidaria; Hydrozoa; Anthoathecata; Hydractiniidae. The record is from RefSeq and is a predicted model, not a curated record.